GCACUCCGUCGAGCCCCCGCGCAGCCGUGCCGGAGCCGCAGGGCCUCCGUCCAGCCGCGCGGUCCGGGCAGCCCGCGCCCCCUGUUCUUCCGGUCCUCGGGCCCAGGUACCCCUCUGGACCUCCCCCGCCUGCAGCGCGGAGGCGGCUCCUCUUCAGGUGGCCGGGCCGGGGCCUUCCCCGGCAGACCUGUCACCCGACACCCAGGAAGCGCGCGGCCGGGUCCCGGCUCCCCUUUGUUCCCCCGCUGGGCUCGGCGCUCCGGCGCCGCCCCCUCUCGCGGGGCAGCGGAGGUUUGGGCCCGGGCCGGGCGCGCUUCAAGCUCCGUCCAUGCGGCUCUUUCCAAACCGGGGCCGUUUUUGCCUGGCUUCUCUGGUGUGGACUCCGCGCGGAGCUGAGAGGCGGCUGUGCGCCCAGCCUGGAGCCGGCGCAGGCAAGGUGCGGCGGCGCCUCCCAGGUUUGCGCCCGUCUUCGCAAAGCUCCUGAGGGCGAAAAUCCUGCGAGCCAGGUGGCGGAUUCUCGGGCCGGGUCACUCAGCUCUACGGGUGCGCAUCACCCUCUACCUGUCACCCAGUGAGCCCGACCGAUGGGCACCGAGUCGGCGGAUCUCUGAUCCGAGGCCGAGCCUUCGGAGAAAUCUGUCCUAGUGGCCUCAUCGUGGCCUGAGCGAACGCAAAGGAACCUGCCCCAAGCCCAGCUCUCAGCCUCGACCCCCACAUUCCCCGCGCGGCUCUCGGUUCGGACCUGGGCUCGGAGCGGCAGCCUCCACCACUGCUCGUUUCUUUACCGCUCAAGGCCGCCCCUUCAUGCUCCUGCGGGGGAGUUAGCGGGACCUCUGGAGUCGGCCUUACGCAAAGAAGAGAAAA
Molecule: long non-coding RNA, 864 nt
Filed under: Homo sapiens (human)
Lineage: Eukaryota; Metazoa; Chordata; Mammalia; Primates; Hominidae
Description: novel transcript
Source: RNAcentral